GUCAGCAUUUCAGAGUCAGAGUUGUGGAACCCUGUAUCUUGAUCAAGUGUUAUUGAUGCUUUAAAAAGAUCCAGGACUUCUUCACGAGGCUGUCAGGGAUGCGAAAACACAAUGAUUUGACUUCUCAAUAUAAUGCUGGUGGAUAUAUACCUCAGCAAGAUGGAGUUGGGGAUGCUGCACAUGGAGUUUUUGAAAUUGAGGUCUGAGCAAUCUGGUUGGUAGAACCUGUGGCCUUAGAGAGUCAGGCGCUAGCUGAAGACCCUUUUGUAUGUUGUGAUGACAUAGGUCUUCUUUCUACUCUCUCUUAAUUUGUGUAGGUAAAACUAACAUGCUAAUUUGUUAUAGAACCCUCUGAGUUACUUUUAAAAUUAGAGAAUUUACCUGGAUAAUUGCUUUUUACCAAUGCAGGGGAAGGCAUGAGUGAACUGUCUUUGGCAGAUCGUGCCACCAUAGCAAACAUGGAAAAUAGUUGUGUUUGGAUUCUGAUUAUUUCUCAUGCUACCACCUAUAAAAACAAAAUGUUGGGAUAUAUUGAAGACUAUUUUUUCCAUAUUCUCUUUAUUGUAGGAUUUUGGUGGCUGUUUUGAUAGUAUGUGAGAGGUUAAUUUAGAAUACCUUGGUAGAGUUGUGUUCAACAUAAAUGUCGGGAACUGAUUCUCACACAACUAUGAUUGAUGGCCUUGGUGUUGCUGGAUGGGGAGUUGGUGGAAUAGAAGCUACAAUGCUUGGCCAGCUUAAUUUAGAAUACCUUGGUAGAGUUGUGUUCAACACAAAUGGCGAGAACUGAUUCACACACAACUAUGAUUGAUGGUCUGGGUGUUGCUGGAUGGGGAGUUGGUGGAAUAGAAGCAGAAGCUGCAAUGCUUGGCCAGUAGGAGACUAAUGAUCUAGAAAAAACUUUUUACAACAAAGCAAUCAUUUUCUCAUAAUAAGAGGUGGAGGAGGACCUUGGGUGGGAUGACAUUGAGGAUCUUAGCAGUAUUGAUGAAAAUAAAACAAGGCAGCAGAGUGGUGGUGGCGCAAGCAAAGUUGAUUUGUGGAAGCGGCUUAGUGCUACGGAACAAGAGGAAGACUUGAGCUGGGACAUUGAAGAUGAUGAUGAUGAGACUGUUAAGGCUUGAAAUGUUUGAUGCAUUAUGUUCUGAUUUCUCAAUGGGAGUGUAUGAUGUAAGUGUCAUUUUCAUGCAAAGAAAUUUGUCCAUGUUUUUAUAUUUUCAGAAAUUGGGAUAGAAGUAUUGUUGUUUGUUCUGUUCCUAAAAUGCAUGAAAAGUAUUUGUUUCUAAAA
This is a long non-coding RNA of Glycine soja, 1285 nucleotides long. RefSeq lists it as uncharacterized. The transcript is spliced from 6 exons. The record is from RefSeq and is a predicted model, not a curated record. NCBI's taxonomy places the organism in Eukaryota, Viridiplantae, Streptophyta, Magnoliopsida, Fabales, Fabaceae.